GCCUGGGUGGCUCAGUCGGUCAAGCAUCUGACUUCAACUCAGGUCAUGAUCUCACCAUUUGUGAGUUCGAACCCCGUGUCAGGCU
RNAcentral lists this transfer RNA (85 nucleotides) under Felis catus (domestic cat). It matches the Rfam family "tRNA". From Rfam's summary of the family: Transfer RNA (tRNA) molecules are approximately 80 nucleotides in length. The record is from Rfam by way of RNAcentral. RNAcentral also lists the same sequence under 4 other names. Lineage: Eukaryota; Metazoa; Chordata; Mammalia; Carnivora; Felidae.